GACGAACGCUGGCGGCGUGCUUAACACAUGCAAGUCGAACGGAAAGGCCCUGCUUGCAGGGUACUCGAGUGGCGAACGGGUGAGUAACACGUGGGUGAUCUGCCCUGCACUUCGGGAUAAGCCUGGGAAACUGGGUCUAAUACCGGAUAGGAGCCAUUUUUAGUGUGAUGGUUGGAAAGUUUUUUCGGUGUAGGAUGAGCUCGCGGCCUAUCAGCUUGUUGGUGGGGUAAUGGCCUACCAAGGCGGCGACGGGCAGCCGGCCUGAGAGGGUGGACGGCCACAUUGGGACUGAGAUACGGCCCAGACUCCUACGGGAGGCAGCAGUGGGGAAUAUUGCACAAUGGGCGCAAGCCUGAUGCAGCGACGCCGCGUGGGGGAUGACGGCCUUCGGGUUGUAAACUCCUUUCGCUAGGGACGAAGCUUUUUGUGACGGUACCUAGAUAAGAAGCACCGGCUAACUACGU
Molecule: ribosomal RNA, 464 nt
Filed under: uncultured bacterium
Lineage: Bacteria
Description: partial 16S ribosomal RNA
Rfam family: Bacterial small subunit ribosomal RNA
Source: RNAcentral